GGCAUGCUUUACACAUGCAAGUCGAACGGUAACAGGUCUUCGGAUGCUGACGAGUGGCGAACGGGUGAGUAAUACAUCGGAACGUGCCUAGUAGUGGGGGAUAACUACUCGAAAGAGUAGCUAAUACCGCAUGAGAUCUACGGAUGAAAGCAGGGGACCUUCGGGCCUUGUGCUACUAGAGCGGCUGAUGGCAGAUUAGGUAGUUGGUGGGGUAAAGGCUUACCAAGCCUGCGAUCUGUAGCUGGUCCGAGAGGACGACCAGCCACACUGGGACUGAGACACGGCCCAGACUCCUACGGGAGGCAGCAGUGGGGAAUUUUGGACAAUGGGCGAAAGCCUGAUCCAGCAAUGCCGCGUGCAGGAUGAAGGCCCUCGGGUUGUAAACUGCUUUUGUACGGAACGAAAAGCCUGGGGCUAAUAUCCCCGGGUCAUGACGGUACCGUAAGAAUAAGCACCGGCUAACUACGUGCCAGCAGCCGCGGUAAUACGUAGGGUGCAAGCGUUAAUCGGAAUUACUGGGCGUAAAGCGUGCGCAGGCGGUUUUGUAAGACAGUGGUGAAAUCCCCGGGCUCAACCUGGGAACUGCCAUUGUGACUGCAAGGCUAGAGUGCGGCAGAGGGGGAUGGAAUUCCGCGUGUAGCAGUGAAAUGCGUAGAUAUGCGGAGGAACACCGAUGGCGAAGGC
Molecule: ribosomal RNA, 684 nt
Filed under: uncultured beta proteobacterium
Lineage: Bacteria; Pseudomonadati; Pseudomonadota; Betaproteobacteria
Description: bacterial SSU rRNA
Rfam family: Bacterial small subunit ribosomal RNA
Source: RNAcentral